GAGACAGAUAGCUGAGAGGCAGAGGCGGAGAUGAGAGGAACAAACAGAAAAAUGGAGAAAAGCUGGGAACACAUGGAAAUGGGUGACAUAUAAAGGGCUGAUGGGGGAAUGUGGGGGACAAAAGUUUGUCUCGGAAGACUUCACUGUGGACUCAGCACUGGAAAAGUAUACACCUUUCAAACUAAUCCCACGGAUGAGAUGCAUCCUGAACAGGAUGACCCUGAGGUUUAUUAUUAUUGAAAUAUAUGACCAAGCCGAACACAUGAAAAUAAAAUCAAUCUUUCACUAAAAUGAACAGAAGAAAGAACAGAAAAAGAAAGGUUACCUCAUGUCACUGGAAGAUUUCCAUCCCCCAUUUCUGGAAAACAAGAAGAAAGAAAUGAAAUAAGCCUUGUGCUCUACCAAAGGGACACGAAUACCACCCUGUCGGGAUGGUGGACAGGAAAGAGUCUUUGGAGGGGCGAGUUUCGAUGGUGUGAGAGUUUAAAGAUGAAAAAAUGCUCAGCUGGAGGAAAAUAAUGAGGUCUGCAUUUGACCAACACGUCAACACCGUCUGACUUUUCAGUCAACUUUGACUCCAACAACUCCAAAUUCAAACAACUGAAGCAAGUCCAAGUUCACGUCACGGAACAUAGGAAAACAUUCACCACGAAAUUUAAAGAAGCAAGAAGAAGAAGAGGAAGAACAUUUGUCUGGUCUUAUCAGCUGAGACCCUGAGACCCAUAAUUCAAUCAAAAUGUGAAUCAAAACAGCCAUAAAGAGAUACAAAACAAUCAUAAUGACAAAUGAAUUGACCUAAAGAAAUAAAUGAAUCAUCAAAAGUAGGUACUAAACUACAAAAAUGUGAACUUCAUAGAUGAACCCUGAACAUGCUACAUGCAGGGCAUCGGUUCACAAAGUACCUUUGUGAGAACUCAUUGGAGUUUUACACUAUCAGAGUGAUAAGAUUCUAUAAAAGGUCAAUGUUGUUGUCAUUGCUUUAAAAAAUGAUGCAAACUCUCUUCCUUAGAAAAACUAAGUACAGUUCACUUACUUUUGUUUUCUUAGUUCGCAGGGGUCGUGUUCAUUAUGACUGCAGAGCACUUGGAGUAACUUGAUUUUUCUGAGUGAGCAAUAUUAAUUGAAUGAGUUCAGCUGUCCAGAUUUCUGGACUCCACAUUAACGUCAGCGUUUUGAUCACUGCCAGGUUGGAUUUUUGGAGUUUAAUUUAGGUUGGGGAUUUUAACCUCAGUGCCUCUUUUUGGAGACACAUUCAAGGAGCCAUUCCAGGACCUGCAGGACCGGCACUUCCAGGUCAGCUGCCCCCACCCCGGACAGCAAUACAUUUGAAAAAUUGAUCAAGUU
Oreochromis niloticus (Nile tilapia) is the source of this 1344-nucleotide long non-coding RNA. RefSeq lists it as uncharacterized. The record is from RefSeq and is a predicted model, not a curated record. The transcript has 3 exons. Lineage: Eukaryota; Metazoa; Chordata; Actinopteri; Cichliformes; Cichlidae.